GAUGAAGAACGCAGCGAAAUGCGAUAAGUAAUGUGAAUUGCAGAAUUCAGUGAAUCAUCGAAUCUUUGAACGCACAUUGCGCCCGCCAGUAUUCUGGCGGGCAUGCCUGUUCGAGCGUCAUUUCAACCAUCAAGCCCCCGGCUUGUGUUGGGGACCUGCGGCUGCCGCAGGCCCUGAAAAGCAGUGGCGGGCUCGCUGUCACACCGAGCGUAGUAGCAUACAUCUCGCUCUGGGCGUGCUGCGGGUUCCGGCCGUUAAACCACCUUCAUAACCCAAGGUUGACCUCGCAUCAGGUAGGAAGACCCGCUGAACUUAAGCAUAUCAAUAAGCGGAGGA
Molecule: unclassified non-coding RNA, 336 nt
Filed under: soil metagenome
Description: partial contains 5.8S ribosomal RNA, internal transcribed spacer 2, and large subunit ribosomal RNA
Rfam family: 5.8S ribosomal RNA (bases 1-120)
Source: RNAcentral